Podarcis lilfordi (Lilford's wall lizard) is the source of this 523-nucleotide non-coding RNA. Lineage: Eukaryota; Metazoa; Chordata; Lepidosauria; Squamata; Lacertidae. The record is from the annotation of a GenBank genome assembly.
GAUCAGAAAUUUUGGACAGGCAGUGGGAAAUUAUAUAGAGCCCACCCAGGAAUCAGAUCAGGAGUGUGCCCUGACAGAACAGAUGAGGGAAGAGGAUGUUUCUGAAUCUUGGGCGCCAGAGAUGGAGGGAGCUGUGGCCCAGCAGGAACAUGAAUUCUUGGAUUUGACAAAUGAACUUGGAAAAAGCCAGAUUUGGAAAGAUAAAGUUUGGUUUGGUUUGGAAAUGGGGGGUUGGAUAGACCCCCCUAUGCAGGGAGGUUUGGACUUUUCAAGUCUGGCAAUGGGCCGUGAGAUGUUUGGGGUUGUGGGGGCUCUUAAUUUUGGAGGGACUUUGAAACAUGUUCUUAAGUUUUGGGCUGGGUUGCCAUCAGUAUGCUGAUGACACCCAACUCUAUCUGUUGAUGGAUGGCCAUCCUGACUCGGCCCCAGACACACUGACCAGAUGUCUGGAAGCUGUGGCUGGAUGGUUACGUGGGAGCCGGUUGAAGUUAAAUCCUUCGAAGACAGAGGUCCUCUGGCUGGG